UCCGCGUUCAAAGAAUCGCAUUCAAAGCUCACGCACAGCGAUGGAGCUCCCUCCUUUCGAGGAGAGGGGGUUUUCUCUGUCGCAUACCACCUUGGCUUUGGGAGAAAGUCCCCGGACCACCCUACCUUUUGGGGAUUCGUUUCCCACAAAGAACGUUAGGACUUGCCGUGAGGCGCCGCCAUAAAAGCAUUUUCACCGCGGCUCUCUUCUUGUUGGUCUCUGCUUUCCACUCUCCUCUGGGCAACCUACUGUUCCUCAGCCUUCGACCUCGUCCCGUCGUUUGUAUUCCUUGGCGAUGACCGGAAUCUGUUUUCACGUCGCCGUGCUUGACGCUUACAUCGAGGUAUCUGGAUGGACGAAGAUACGAGUCCGUCCCAUUAGGGUUUCGGCUAGAUAUCUCUUUUGACGCUGAGGGCCGGUGGUGAUUUGGGUUCUUGGGCAUCACGGGGAAGAGACGGCGAGGGUUUUAUACUGGAAGUGCUUGGGACAUUGGCUGCUCCGAGGGUUCAAGAGUGCUGAAGGUUGCGCAAUUCGUCACAUGAGUAUAGUUAUGCGAUUGCUCUUUUUUUCUCUUGCCCGGGGUUUGGAAACAGGUUUUGGGCGAGAGAAAGAGAGGGUAACUCGACGGGGCUUAUUCUUGAGACGCGG
RNAcentral lists this RNase MRP RNA (648 nucleotides) under Exophiala oligosperma. RNAcentral describes it as "RNase MRP". It matches the Rfam family "RNase MRP". Rfam says of the family: RNase MRP is an enzymatically active ribonucleoprotein with two distinct roles in eukaryotes. Lineage: Eukaryota; Fungi; Ascomycota; Eurotiomycetes; Chaetothyriales; Herpotrichiellaceae. The record is from Rfam by way of RNAcentral. RNAcentral also lists the same sequence under 1 other name.